UCCUGGGUUCAUGCCCCAGUGGAGCCACAGUCCGAUGUUUGAUCUCGGAAGCUAAACAGGGUCGGUCCUGGUUAAUACUUGGAUGGGAGACCACCUAGGAAGACCAGGUUCUAUAGGCA
RNAcentral lists this ribosomal RNA (119 nucleotides) under Pteropus alecto (black flying fox). The record is from RNAcentral. Lineage: Eukaryota; Metazoa; Chordata; Mammalia; Chiroptera; Pteropodidae.